UCCGGUUUGUCACCGGCAGUCUCGCAUGAGUCCCCGGCCGAACCGCUGGCAACAUGCGACGGGGGUUGCGCUCGUUGCGGGACUUAACCCAACAUCUCACGACACGAGCUGACGACAGCCAUGCACCACCUGUGAUCCUGCCCAAUAAAGGGAAACCGUGUUUCCACGGCGGUCAGGAACAUGUCAAACCCAGGUAAGGUUCUUCGCGUUGCGUCGAAUUAAACCACAUGCUCCGCUGCUUGUGCGGGUCCCCGUCAAUUCCUUUGAGUUUUAGCCUUGCGGCCGUACUCCCCAGGCGGUCAACUUCACGCGUUAGCUUCGUUACCAAGGAAUAACUUCCCCGACAACUAGUUGACAUCGUUUACGGCGUGGACUAC
RNAcentral lists this unclassified non-coding RNA (377 nucleotides) under uncultured Solirubrobacterales bacterium. RNAcentral's name for it is "contains 16S-23S intergenic spacer region". Lineage: Bacteria; Bacillati; Actinomycetota; Thermoleophilia; Solirubrobacterales. The record is from RNAcentral.